GAUGAACGCUGGCGGCGUGCCUAAUACAUGCAAGUCGAGCGAACGGACGAGAAGCUUGCUUCUCUGAUGUUAGCGGCGGACGGGUGAGUAACACGUGGAUAACCUACCUAUAAGACUGGGAUAACUUCGGGAAACCGGAGCUAAUACCGGAUGCUAUUUUGAACCGCAUUGUUCAAAAGUUAACGACGGUCUUGCUCUCACUUAUAGAUGGAUCCGCGCUGCAUUAACUAGUUGUUAAGGUAACGGCUUACCAAGGCAACGAUGCAUAGCCGACAUGAGAGGGUGAACGGCCACACUGGAACUGAGACACGGUCCAGACUCCUACGGGAGGCAGCAGUAGGGAAUCUUCCGCAAAGGGCGAAAGCCUGACGGAGCAACGCCGCGUGAGUGAUGAAGGUCUUCGGAUCGUAAAACUCUGUUAUUAGGGAAGAACAUAUGUGUAAGUAACUGUGCACAUCUUGACGGUACCUAAUCAGAAAGCCACGGCUAACUACGUG
This 497-nucleotide ribosomal RNA is filed under the name uncultured bacterium. RNAcentral describes it as "partial 16S ribosomal RNA". It matches the Rfam family "Bacterial small subunit ribosomal RNA", at positions 28 to 507 of the family's 1533-position model. The record is from RNAcentral.